AACGAACGCUGGCGGCAUGCCUAACACAUGCAAGUCGAACGAGACCUUCGGGUCUAGUGGCGCACGGGUGCGUAACGCGUGGGGACCUGCCCUUAGGUUCGGAAUAACUCCCCGAAAGGGGUGCUAAUACCGGAUAAUGUCUUCGGACCAAAGAUUUAUCGCCUUUGGAUGGGCCCGCGUUGGAUUAGCUAGUUGGUAGGGUAAAAGCCUACCAAGGCGACGAUCCAUAGCUGGUCUGAGAGGAUGAUCAGCCACACUGGGACUGAGACACGGCCCAGACUCCUACGGGAGGCAGCAGUGGGGAAUAUUGGACAAGGGGCGAAAGCCUGAUCCAGCAAUGCCGCGUGAGUGAUGAAGGCCUUAGGGUUGUAAAGCUCUUUUACCCGGGAUGAUAAUGACAGUACCGGGAGAAUAAGCUCCGGCUAACUCCGUG
Molecule: ribosomal RNA, 433 nt
Filed under: uncultured bacterium
Lineage: Bacteria
Description: partial 16S ribosomal RNA
Rfam family: Bacterial small subunit ribosomal RNA
Source: RNAcentral